GACGAACGCUGGCGGCGUGCUUAACACAUGCAAGUCGAACGGAAAGGCCCUGCUUUUGUGGGGUGCUCGAGUGGCGAACGGGUGAGUAACACGUGAGUAACCUGCCCUUGACUUUGGGAUAACUUCAGGAAACUGGGGCUAAUACCGGAUAGGAGCUCCUGCUGCAUGGUGGGGGUUGGAAAGUUUCGGCGGUGGGGGCUGGACUCGCGGCUUAUCAGCUUGUUGGUGGGGUAGUGGCUUACCAAGGCUUUGACGGGUAGCCGGCCUGAGAGGGUGACCGGCCACAUUGGGACUGCGAUACGGACCAGACUCCUACGGGAGGCAGCAGUGGGGAAUAUUGCACAAUGGGCGGAAGCCUGAUGCAGCAACGCCGCGUGCGGGAUGACGGCCUUCGGGUUGUAAACCGCUUUCGCCUGUGACGAAGCGUGAGUGACGGUAAUGGGUAAAGAAGCACCGGCUAACUACGUG
Molecule: ribosomal RNA, 468 nt
Filed under: uncultured bacterium
Lineage: Bacteria
Description: partial 16S ribosomal RNA
Rfam family: Bacterial small subunit ribosomal RNA
Source: RNAcentral